GAUGAACGCUGGCGGCGUGCCUAAUACAUGCAAGUCGAGCGAACGGACGAGAAGCUUGCUUUUCUGAUGUUAGCGGCGGACGGGUGAGUAACACGUGGAUAACCUACCUAUAAGACUGGGAUAACUUCGGGAAACCGGAGCUAAUACCGGAUAAUAUUUUGAACCGCAUGGCUCAAAAGUGAAAGACGGUCUUGCUGUCACUUAUAGAUGGAUCCGCGCUGCAUUAGCUAGUUGGUAAGGUAACGGCUUACCAAGGCAACGAUGCAUAGCCGACCUGAGAGGGUGAUCGGCCACACUGGAACUGAGACACGGUCCAGACUCCUACGGGAGGCAGCAGUAGGGAAUCUUCCGCAAUGGGCGAAAGCCUGACGGAGCAACGCCGCGUGAGUGAUGAAGGUCUUCGGAUCGUAAAACUCUGUUAUUAGGGAAGAACAUAUGUGUAAGUAACUGUGCACAUCUUGACGGUACCUAAUCAGAAAGCCACGGCUAACUACGUG
This 497-nucleotide ribosomal RNA is filed under the name uncultured bacterium. RNAcentral describes it as "partial 16S ribosomal RNA". It matches the Rfam family "Bacterial small subunit ribosomal RNA", at positions 28 to 507 of the family's 1533-position model. The record is from RNAcentral.